Long non-coding RNA from Mirounga angustirostris (Northern elephant seal), 1151 nucleotides. RefSeq lists it as uncharacterized. The record is from RefSeq and is a predicted model, not a curated record. NCBI's taxonomy places the organism in Eukaryota, Metazoa, Chordata, Mammalia, Carnivora, Phocidae. The transcript has 3 exons.
UCCACCCAUUUCCCGGUGCCUCCUAGGAAAAUGGCCGAGGACUACCGGGUCUCUUUCCCACCCGAAUACCGGCUGUGUUCUUUGCCAAGUCUCCCUCACUGGCAGCCUCCAGCUCUUAGAUUUUAAGGCUGUUAGUUCUUGCGGACUUUGCCUCUUUUGUCCAACCCUCUAGUCCCUUUUCCCUCAGGUAAUUUAUUGACGCCAUCGCAGAUGGAAACACUGCCCAUCUGAGAAAAAGCCAGGAAACAAAGCGACUUUCCAAGGGUGGAGAAAGAAGUUACCCCAGGUAGCGUCUGACCUGGGCGCAUGUGCGGCUUAUAGCUGCUCACAGUGCCUACCGCGUGCCCCGGGCGCUUUCCCUCUGGUCUUCAGGGCCACGCCAGGCACCCCCCAGCUUCUGGCAGUACUGGCUGCUGGCGGCUCAAGCGGCGGCCCCCUCUGGGCACUGCCUACAGCCACAGAGAACCGCCUUGUGCAAGUACCUCCGCCUCUCACGACGCAACAGGGGGGCCAAGAACUGGCUGAUGGAAUCAUACAGACACCUGGUCCCCUGGCCUCGUUUUGGGACAGCGCUGAAAGGCCAUCCCAGCUCCAGAGCCCCCUGUGGGACGGGCCGAGGCCUCAGUGGCAGCCACACCACCGGGGGAGCUCCCCGGCCCCACCUGCCCCCCUCAUUGUCUUCACGUGUCUCUCCCACCAGCGCGCCCGGUCAACCUUCCACCUGGGACCGAUCCCAGGAAACCUCCUGCAGAUCAUUUGGAAAAUAAAAAUGAAGAAGCUGAAUAAGGAGAUAUGGUCUGACAUCUGCAUUCUGAAGUGUCAACUUAAAGUGACCAUUGUUUCUGUAUGUGCCUGAGGUAAUUCUGUGUGCUCGAGUUGGGAGUGGGAGUGUGGACUCAACAUUUCAAGUAUCCAGAGAUACUUAAACAGCAUCUGAUGGGCGCCAGUCGAGAAUUGACAUCCGCAGAGGUGGUGACUUAGCACUUGAGGAAUGAAAAGAGGUAUUUUGAUUGGUGAGGUAAGUGGUGUUCUGUCUAAGAGUGUUGCACGAGCUCUACAACCCUUGUAGGAGCAAGGUGUGAAAUCCCAGCCCCGGUGUCUCAUGCCGCAGAACCAGCCAGUCACGUUAUGAGGAGCAGAGGAGCAUCUUC